AUACGGAGGACGCGAGCGUUAUCCGGAUUCAUUGGGUUUAAAGGGUGCGUAGGCGGUUUGCUAAGCGGGAGGUGAAAUGCCGGCGCUCAACGUCGGAAGUGCCUCCCGAACUGGUGGACUGGAAUGACUCUGCCGUGGGAGGAAUGUGUAGUGUAGCGGUGAAAUGCUUAGAGAUUACACAGAACACCGAUUGCGAAGGCAUCUCACGAAGGGUUGAUUGACGCUGAGGCACGAAAGCGUGGGGAUCAAACAGGAUUAGAUACCCUGGUAGUCCACGCAGUAAACGAUGAUGGCUAACCGCUGGUUUAUUCGGAUCAGUGGCCAAGCGAAAGCGAUAAGCCAUCCACCUGGGGAGUACGACCGCAAGGUUGAAACUCAAAUGAAUUGACGGG
Molecule: ribosomal RNA, 392 nt
Filed under: uncultured bacterium
Lineage: Bacteria
Description: partial 16S ribosomal RNA
Rfam family: Bacterial small subunit ribosomal RNA
Source: RNAcentral